RNAcentral lists this ribosomal RNA (4716 nucleotides) under Triticum aestivum (bread wheat). RNAcentral's name for it is "partial small subunit ribosomal RNA". Lineage: Eukaryota; Viridiplantae; Streptophyta; Magnoliopsida; Poales; Poaceae. The record is from RNAcentral.
AUGUUCUACUCGCAGUUCAUCUUGGCCAAGAAGGGCCCGCUCGGGACCAUAUGGAUCGCCGCGCACUUGGAGCGCAAGCUCCGCAAGAACCAGGUCACGGACACGGACAUCGGCGUCUCCGUAGAUUCAAUUAUAUUCCCUGAGGUUCCAAUUGCGCUGCGGUUAUCCAGUCAUCUUAUGGUAGGCGUGGUCAGAAUCUAUUCUCGGAAGGUCAACUACCUAUUUCAUGAUUGCAGUGAAGCCUUGCUCAAGAUAAAACAAGCAUUUAGGUCUGCUGCUGUUGAUCUCCCCCCUGAAGAAUCAACUGCUCCAUAUCAUUCUAUAACACUCCCUGAGACAUUCCAUCUUGAUGAUUUUGAGUUACCGGAGGCUGAGUUUCAGGGGGACAUUGAUCAUCAUGUAAGCUCAAAAGAACAGAUUACCCUGCAAGACAACCCAGAGAGAACAGGAUAUUCAACAUCUGAAUUUGGUUUAGAUGAAAGAUUUGGUGAUGGCAGUUCUUCACAUAUGGGUUUUGAUUUGGAGGAGGAAUUAUUGCUGGCGAAGGAUGAUCCAAUUCAACUCGAAUCUGGUGAUGGUAUCCUCAUUCAAGGUCAAUCAUCACUUCAUCCUACUGAUAUGGAUGUUGACGAUAACCCAAGUAAAGAUGAAGAGGCUGAAGCAUAUAACAAAAUGGAUGAUGAACCUUCUAGUUCCAGCAAGCAAAAUCAAUCGAAUGCAGAUGAUUUAAGAAACAAUAUUCCUAACUGGACUGGUUACAAUUUGCGUACCCCUGAUUUGAAUGAUAUGCUUUUCCACAAUGAAGGUGACGCGGGGCCAUCUUCUUCAUACUAUCAGCCUAGUCCCUUCCCUUGUGAUGAUCCUGCAUCUCCUGCCUCUCCUGCCUCUCCUGAGUUUGUAAGCGCUCAAGCCCCAGCUACACCUGGCUUAAUGGAAGAAACAGUUCCUUCCAGAGUGCAUGAAAGUCCUGUUCUGAGUCCGCAACGGAAAGCUUCACCAUCAAGCAACGAGGAAACUGCAAAGAUUGACAAUUUUGCUGCUCCGCCCUCAGAUUUUGUCCAUUCAGCCGCAGCAAAUGAUGUUGGGAUGGUUGAAUUUGGAUUGACUAAGCCUGUGCAAGUUGAGUCUUCUGGUGCCGCACAGGAGAAUUCUGCCGCUCCAUCCUUAGAUUUUCUCCAUUCAGCUACAGCUACAGCUAAUGCUAAUGAUGCUGUUGGUGCUGAGAUGGCUGAGUUUAGCUUGGUUAAGCCUGUGCAAGUUGAGUCUUCCGGUGCAGCACAGGAGAAUCUUGCCGCUCCAUCCUCAGAUCCUUUCCAUUCAGCUGCAGCAAAUGCUAAUGAUGCUGUUAGUGCUGAGUUUGCUGAAUUUGGAUUGGCUAAGCCUGUGCAAGUUGAAUCAUCUGGUGCUGUAGCUCCACCCUUGGAUUUUCUCCAUUCAGCUGCAGUAAAUGCUAAUGAUGCUGUUGGUGCUGAGAUGUCUGCAUAUAGAUUGACUAAUCCUGUGCAAGUUGAGUCUUCCGGUGCACCCUCAGAUUUUCUCCAUUCAGCUACAGCUAAUGCUAAUGAUGCUGUUGGUGCUGUACAAGAGAAUUUUGCUGCUCCACCCUCAGAUUUUUUCCAUCCAGGUGCAGCACAUGCUAAUGAUACUGCACAUGCUGAUGAUACUGUUGGUCCUGAGAUGACUGAAUUUAGAUUGGCUAAUCCUGUGCAAGUUGAGUCUUCUGGUGCUGUACAUCAUAAUUUUGCUGCUCCACCGUUAGAUUUUCUCCAUCCAGGUGCAGCACAUGCUAAUGAUGCUGUUGGUGCUGGGAUGGCUGAAUUUAGAUUGGCUGAGCCGGUGCAAGUUGAGUCUUCUGGUGCUGUGCGGGAGAUGGAUUUUCUGAGGCAACACUCUGCAACUGUGGAUAUGCCACCAGAACCACAAACAUCAAAGGCUACUGUUGAUAAGUUGGUGGUAAAUACUGAGGAUAUAGCUGUAUCAGGUAAAACACUGCCUUUUAAAGCAACCAUGGGAAGUGUGCCAUUUGUUCAGAAUACUUCGGAGCCACGCACUAAUGGUUCUACCGAGACAUACGUGACAGGGAAUCAAACACAUUUUAAUGAGGGGUCAGUAAACAUGCAAGGGUAUAAUUUUCUUGCUUCUAAUGUAUCUGUAGAGCCAUACCCUGGUGGUUCUACCGAGCCAUGGGUGACAGGGCAACAACAACAAAGCUUCUUGUCCCAAGCAAGUUGGGGUAGGCCUAGUGGUUCUACCGAGCCACGCGUGACAGGGCAUCCAACACAUUUUAAUGAGGGAUCAGUAAAUGUGCAAGGGUAUAAUCUGCAUGCUCCUAAUGUGUUUCUCGGACAUAACUUACAAGAAAUACCACCAGGAAUGACACACAGUAAUAUAUCAACUGCUGCUUUCCAACAGAACACUGGAACAAUACCGCAAUACAUGUCAUAUAAUGAUAGACCAAAUGACAUGUUCACCUCAAAUUUCCCAGAACGCGAGAGAAUGCUCUCAGCUCCAUAUAUUGGAUUCCACCAGACAAAUGACUUGGGGCAGUUAACUGCAGAGAAAGGAAUCACUGAAUCUGAUGGAAGUAACAAAAUAGGUAGCCUUAGUAGCAGAAAACGUCACUUGGAGGAUAGCAUGCCAGCUCCAGAGAGUAGGACUACUGAAAAUUUGUCCAGCACACCAGAUGGUCAAAGAACCACUGAUGCUAUUCCUAACGAUGAUGAUAUACUGGCAUCCAUUUUAGUUGGUAGAAGAACCCCUGGAUUGGUGCUUGAUUCAACUCCAUUACCACCUAAUGCAUCAACUUCAAAACGCCAAAGGUUGACACCGAAGACCGCAUUGACACCCAAGACCAGGACACCCAAGAGAAGAGUGAAAAUGGAUGAUGCCAUGGUUAUACAUGCUGAUAUUAUACGGCAGCAGUUGAUUAGUACCGAGGAUAUAAGGCGCAUCCGUAGAAAGGCUCCAUGCACCCGUACUGAAAUAUGGAUGAUCGAGAAAGGUUCACUUGAAGAUGAUAUAUUCCGCGAGCCUAUAUUUUCCUGUAUGCACAAGGACCUGAACGGUUUACACUAUCGAACCUAUGAGUCUGUUUCUCAAUUCACCGUACAUAACAGGGAACCGCAAGGACAAGUAGACAUGUCUGAAACUAUCCGAGCAGAUUACAGCAAUGCUGGCAUCUCUGGUGCAGAGGAAAGUGCAGCUCAUGAUCACCAACUUCAUAUGGUGCUACCAGAUACCAACAAUGUUGACAUCUCUGGUGCAAAGGACAGUGCAGCUCUUCAUCACGAACUGAAUAUGGGACUACCAGAUGGAGCUCACAACGUUGGCAUCUCUGGUGCAAAUGACAGUGCAGCUCUUGAUCACCAACUAAAUAUGGGACUACCAGAUGGAGCUCACAACGUUGGCAUCUCUGGUGCAAAGGACAGUGCAGCUCUUCAUCACGAACUGAAUAUGGGACUACCAGAUGGAGCUCACAACGUUGGCAUCUCUGGUGCAAAUGACAGUGCAGCUCUUGAUCACCAACUAAAUAUGGGACUACCAGAUGGAGCUCACAACGUUGGUAUCUCUGGUGCAAAUGACACUGCAGCUCUUGAUCUGGGACUACCAGAUGGAGCUCACAACGCUGGCAUCUCUGGUGCAAAUGACAGUGCAGCUCUUGAUCACCAACUUCAUAUGGGACUACCAGAUGGUGCUCAAUUAGAUGCUACACCACAAGAAGCAACUGAUGCAGUUGAUGCUACAGCUGCAUUUGGUUUGCAAAUGCCAUCUGAUGAACGUGAUAACAACAUUGAAAAAGUAACUGAGUUUGGUGACGGGAAAGAAAUCCCACUUGUUGACGAAACAAAUGCUGCUGCAAACAUUACUGCUCAUGUUGAUACACUGGAUAAGGAUUGCCAUCAAGAUGCUUCAGCAGAUAUGCAGAGGAAUACAAAUGCUGAUACACCUCUCUUUGUGCAAGAUGACAUAACCCAUGAUUCUGCUACUAUAACAGAUGCUCCAGAUGUUGCUUUGCAUAGUUCUGGUCCAGCUUGUGCGCAAGCAGUGGACGCCCGGGAAGGGGAAUUGAGUGACAUUGUUCGCAGUGAUAUUAAUACUUUUGAGGAUAAGGAGAUGCCCACUUCUGAGGUUACUGGACUGGAAUUCACUGAACAUGCCUCUGGUUUUCCUCAACCAACAGAGGAUGAGAAUGCUGUGUCGGCGAUGGGAGAAAAUUCUGGCUUGCAAGGAAACAAUGCAGGAUCCUUCACGGACAUGGACAACAUGGGGCAUGACUUCACGGACAUGGACCACACUGGGCAUGACUUUGCACUUAAGGAAUGCAGUGAUUUUGGAAGUGCAAUUCAUGGUGUUGACGCAGAUUUUCUACCCUAUGAUGAUGAUGGGGACUUUGAUGAGGCAAUUGAUCUCGAUGAUGAUGACGAUGAGCCAAAUCCUGACGAAUUCCAGUCUCAUGAUGCACUUAGUGGCUGGUCUUCUCGUACCAAGGGUGUUGCAAGAUAUCUCAAGACUCUGUUCGAUGAAGAGUCUGGUCGGGGGAGAAAGAAUGUUGUCAUUGAUCAUCUGGUAAAUGGAAAGUCUCGGAAAGAAGCCUCAAGGAUGUUCUUCGAGACCUUGGUCCUGUCGACGAAGGACUACAUUCAGGUGGAGCAACCAAUUCCCUUUGGUUUAAUAAACGUGAAGCCAGUAUCCAAGCUCCUGAAGACAGAUUUCUAG